RNAcentral lists this ribosomal RNA (386 nucleotides) under uncultured bacterium. RNAcentral describes it as "bacterial SSU rRNA". It matches the Rfam family "Bacterial small subunit ribosomal RNA", at positions 29 to 416 of the family's 1533-position model. The record is from RNAcentral.
AUUGAACGCUGGCGGCAUGCUUUACACAUGCAAGUCGAACGGCAGCACGGGCUUCGGCCUGGUGGCGAGUGGCGAACGGGUGAGUAAUGCAUCGGAACGUACCGUGUAAUGGGGGAUAACGUAGCGAAAGUUACGCUAAUACCGCAUACGCCCUGAGGGGGAAAGUGGGGGACCGCAAGGCCUCACGUUAUACGAGCGGCCGAUGUCGGAUUAGCUAGUUGGUGGGGUAAAGGCCUACCAAGGCGACGAUCCGUAGCGGGUCUGAGAGGAUGAUCCGCCACACUGGGACUGAGACACGGCCCAGACUCCUACGGGAGGCAGCAGUGGGGAAUUUUGGACAAUGGGGGCAACCCUGAUCCAGCCAUGCCGCGUGAGUGAAGAAGGCC